CGGAAUCGCUAGUAAUCGCAGAUCAGAAUGCUGCGGUGAAUACGUUCCCGGGUCUUGUACACACCGCCCGUCACACCAUGGGAGCCAGGAAUGCCCGAAGCCAGUGGCCUAACCGCAAGGGAGGAGCUGUCGAAGGCAGGCCCGGUAACUGGGGUGAAGUCGUAACAAGGUACC
Molecule: ribosomal RNA, 174 nt
Filed under: uncultured bacterium
Lineage: Bacteria
Description: partial 16S ribosomal RNA
Rfam family: Bacterial small subunit ribosomal RNA
Source: RNAcentral